UCAAUAAAUAGGGAGUCAUUAUAUAGAAC
This 29-nucleotide non-coding RNA is filed under the name Rattus norvegicus (Norway rat). The record is from RNAcentral. Lineage: Eukaryota; Metazoa; Chordata; Mammalia; Rodentia; Muridae.